CGUCCCGUGCCUGGCGGCGCUCCCUCCCGGGGCGUCCCGCCUUUGGCGGCGCUCCCGGGCCCAUGGCGCUGCCCUCGGUGCACAGGUGCCUCCAACUCAGUGAUGAAAACGAACAGUUACUCAAGAAGUUGAAAAAACUACGUAUUAAAAAUAAAGAGCUAGAAAAGAAUCUGGCUCAGUUCCAAGAGAAACUGCGUAUGCAGCAGUUAAUACACGGCUAUGUCACAAGCAGAGAAUGA
RNAcentral lists this long non-coding RNA (239 nucleotides) under Struthio camelus australis. RNAcentral describes it as "lncRNA (ENSSCUG00000014788.1)". Lineage: Eukaryota; Metazoa; Chordata; Aves; Struthioniformes; Struthionidae. The record is from RNAcentral.